AGCCUCAUUCUAGAUUAGAAUGGGGGUGUCCAAAACUGGUCAGUAUGGCUAAAAUUGAGACACAAUUCAUGCUUCCAUCACAAUAAAUGUAUUCCAGUGGUGACAAUGAGGCCUCUAACAUUC
This is a small nucleolar RNA of Fukomys damarensis (Damara mole-rat), 123 nucleotides long. NCBI's taxonomy places the organism in Eukaryota, Metazoa, Chordata, Mammalia, Rodentia, Bathyergidae. The record is from Ensembl.